UCCAGACUCCUACGGGAGGCAGCAGUGGGGGAUAUUGCACAAUGGGGGGAACCCUGAUGCAGCGACGCCGCGUGGGUGAAGAAGCGCCUCGGCGCGUAAAGCCCUAUCGGCAGGGAAGAAGGAGGACGGUACCUGACUAAGAAGCCCCGGCUAACUACGUGCCAGCAGCCGCGGUAAUACGUAGGGGGCAAGCGUUAUCCGGAUUUACUGGGUGUAAAGGGGGCGCAGACGGCAGCGCAAGCCAGGAGUGAAAGCCCGGGGCCCAACCCCGGGACUGCUCUUGGAACUGCGCGGCUGGAGUGCAGGAGGGGCAGGCGGAAUUCCUGGUGUAGCGGUGAAAUGCGUAGAUAUCAGGAGGAACACCGGUGGCGAAGGCGGCCUGCUGGACUGCGACUGACGUUGAGGCCCGAAAGCGUGGGGAGCAAACAGGAUUAGAUACCCCCGUA
RNAcentral lists this ribosomal RNA (446 nucleotides) under uncultured bacterium. RNAcentral's name for it is "partial 16S ribosomal RNA". It matches the Rfam family "Bacterial small subunit ribosomal RNA", at positions 330 to 792 of the family's 1533-position model. The record is from RNAcentral.